This is a long non-coding RNA of Aedes aegypti (yellow fever mosquito), 1295 nucleotides long. RefSeq lists it as uncharacterized. The record is from RefSeq and is a predicted model, not a curated record. Lineage: Eukaryota; Metazoa; Arthropoda; Insecta; Diptera; Culicidae. The transcript has 4 exons.
AAAAAAUCUGAUCCCAUUAUCAUGAUUUACGAAUCAUGAAAAUUAUAAAUUGCUCUUGGGACGAAAUCAUGAUUCAGACUCAUGAUUUUUGAAGCUGAGCUACCACUAUCAUGAUUCAGAGCAACCAUUUUCAUGAGCUCCAAAUCAUGACCAUGAAAAGCGUUACGCACACGGUGCACCUGUCAAAACGUGUUUAGCAAAGCUUGUGCAAAGCAUAGUUGGCUGCGCAUUCACGGAAAAGUUGCCCUUUUUUUAAAAAAAAGUUCACUUUUAUUGCCGGUUUCCUGCGCCGCUGUUGCUCUACUGUCGUUCCUGCUCUACUAUUCCGUUCCUGCUCCGUUGAUAUCGGGCUAUUCCGGCUCUGCAGAACUACUGGUAAGUGAAAAAAAACGCAUGCAAUUCAAUACAAAUGCUGACAAUUUUCCACCGUCUUCUCUGUUUAGCCGUUUCAUUCUGUUCCUUUCCUGCCGUGGCUGUUGCCCGUUCCGGCUCCUGUGUACCCGUUCCGGCUCCGCAUUGAGGGAAAAUUCUUCCGGCUCCGCUCUACUAACUACCGCCGUUUUAUUGUCCCAGUGCCACUGUCGCCAUUCCGGCCGCGGCUGUUGUCGUCCAAUAGGUGCAUCCGUUCCGGCUCCGCAUUGAGUGACCAGCUCCGCCCUACCAACUACCGCUCCCGAUUUUGUUGCCGUUCCGGACGAUUCGUUUUCAGCCUUGGCUGGUUCCGCCCAGUAGGUGUUCCCGUUCCGACUUCCCCCACAACUACCGAACGCAGGUGAUAUAGAAGGGAGGAUCGAGCGGCGACUGAACCAUCUCCGCGAAAAAUUUGGGGAAUCAUCGCUUCAACCUCAAAUUGUCGCAGUGGGCACGAGCAACUCAACAAAAGCAACGAUGGUUAUUUUUGGCGGCGCGGAGUAUAUCGCAGAUAAUAUUGUGCAUGCUGUAUGCAUUUGUAUGCAUAUCACUUAUGUGCUAAAUUUGCGUUAUACUCCGGACUGCAAACCGCUGUGGCUCUUUGUUCAGUCAUACCUGUUCAAAAUCCCGGCGUCCAUUAUUGAGCUCCCGAAGAGCACACGUGAUUUGCUAAAAGGUAUAGAUAAUUAAACUGGAAGAUCGUUUUUUUUCUUAAAAUAAUCUUUUUUCAAGUGAAAAGAAUAGAAUAAAUGAAUUAAACUCAAAACCCCAAAAUAUGUUUUAAAUAAAUGUUGUACUCACAAAUAGCUUAAGGUGAAGGUGCAGUGCGUUUACUUUCAAAACUAUGCAUUUUGCCUCGCGUUUUCUCGAGCACCAAUCUGAAA